Molecule: ribosomal RNA, 500 nt
Filed under: uncultured bacterium
Lineage: Bacteria
Description: partial 16S ribosomal RNA
Rfam family: Bacterial small subunit ribosomal RNA
Source: RNAcentral
AUUGAACGCUGGCGGAAUGCUUUACACAUGCAAGUCGAACGGCAGCACGGACUUCGGUCUUGCGGCGAGUGGCGAACGGGUGAGUAAUGUAUCGGAACGUGCCCAGUCGUGGGGGAUAACGUAGUGAAAAUUACGCUAAUCCCGCAUACGAUCGAUGGAUGAAAGCGGGGGAUCGCAAGACCUCGCGCGAUUGGAGCGGCCGCUAUCAGAUUAGGUAGUUGGUGGGGUAAAGGCCCACCAAGCCAACGAUCCGUAGCUGGUCUGAGAGGACGACCAGCCACACUGGAACUGAGACACGGUCCAGACUCCUACGGGAGGCAGCAGUGGGGAAUUUUGGACAAUGGGCGAAAGCCUGAUCCAGCCAUUCCGCGUGCAGGGUGAAGGCCCUCGGGUUGUAAACUGCUUUUGUACAGAACGAAAAGGUUUCUACUAAUACUAGGAGCUCAUGACGGUACUGUAAGAAUAAGCACCGGCUAACUACGUGCCAGCAGCCGCCGCAG